UUCGGUCCCCGGUAAAGUGGCGCACGGGUGAGUAACACGUAGGUAACCUACCCCUGGGCGGGGGAUAACGUUCCGAAAGGAGCGCUAAUACCGCGUAAGACCACGUCCUGAAAUGGAUGAGGUAAAAGCGGGCCUCUACAUGUAAGCUCGCGCCUGGGGAUGGGCCUGCGGCCCAUCAGGUUGUUGGUGGGGUAACGGCCUACCAAGCCUAAGACGGGUAGCUGGUCUGAGAGGAUGAUCAGCCACACUGGAACUGAGACACGGUCCAGACUCCUACGGGAGGCAGCAGUGGGGAAUCUUGCGCAAUGGGCGAAAGCCUGACGCAGCGACGCCGCGUGAGUGAUGAAGGCCUUAGGGUUGUAAAGCUCUGUGGAGGGGGACGAAUAAGUUGUAGCCAAUACCUGCAGCGAUGACGGUACCUCCUUAGCAAGCACCGGCUAACUCUGUGCCAGCAGCCGCGGUAAGACAGAGGGUGCAAACGUUGUUCGGAAUUACUGGGCGUAAAGCGCGUGUAGGCUGCUGCGCAAGUCGGGUGUGAAAUCCCGGGGCUCAACCCCGGACGUGCAUUCGAAACUGCGUAGCUAGAGUCUCGGAGAGGGAAGCGGAAUUCUGGGUGUAGAGGUGAAAUUCGUAGAUAUCCAGAGGAACACCGGUGGCGAA
This 660-nucleotide ribosomal RNA is filed under the name uncultured Myxococcales bacterium. RNAcentral's name for it is "bacterial SSU rRNA". It matches the Rfam family "Bacterial small subunit ribosomal RNA", at positions 79 to 719 of the family's 1533-position model. Lineage: Bacteria; Pseudomonadati; Myxococcota; Myxococcia; Myxococcales. The record is from RNAcentral.